RNAcentral lists this ribosomal RNA (518 nucleotides) under Processa bermudensis. RNAcentral describes it as "partial 16S ribosomal RNA". It matches the Rfam family "Archaeal large subunit ribosomal RNA", at positions 1911 to 2666 of the family's 2987-position model. Lineage: Eukaryota; Metazoa; Arthropoda; Malacostraca; Decapoda; Processidae. The record is from RNAcentral.
GGCUGCGCGAGAGUGAGUGUGAAGUCUGGCCUGCCCAAUGAAUAAAUUUGAAUGGCCGCGGUAAUUUGACCGUGCGAAGGUAGCAUAGUCAGUAGUCUCUUAAUUGGAGGCUGGAAUGAAUGGUCGGACAAGAAUCAAGUUGUCUCCUCUAUAGAAUUUGAAUUUAACCUUUAAGUGAAAAGGCUUAAAUAAGCUGAAGGGACGAUAAGACCCUAUAAAACUUUACUAGAUAGAUGUACUUUUUUGAUUGAGAUGUUUAAAGGGUACUUGCAUUUUUCUCGUUUUGUUGGGGCGACAGAAAUAUAAUUUACUUUUUAUAACUGUUAGAAAAAAUAAAUAGUAAUAAUUAGUCUUUGAUCCGUACGUAGCGAUUAUAAGAUUAAGUUACUUUAGGGAUAACAGCGUAAUUUUUUUUGAGAGUUCUUAUCGACAAAAUUAGUUGCGACCUCGAUGUUGAAUUAAAGUUUCCUUUUUGUGUAGCAGCAUAUAGGGUGGGUCUGUUCGACCUUUAAAACUUU